Nymphaea colorata (pocket water lily) is the source of this 1118-nucleotide long non-coding RNA. RefSeq lists it as uncharacterized. Lineage: Eukaryota; Viridiplantae; Streptophyta; Magnoliopsida; Nymphaeales; Nymphaeaceae. The transcript is spliced from 3 exons. The record is from RefSeq and is a predicted model, not a curated record.
GAUGUGUUCCGAGGUUUACCACGGAACAGCACAGAACAGCCUCCCGCGACCCCGAGCUCUCCUUGCCCUCGACCUAUCUCUUCCUCUCCUCCUCCUCCGUCUCCAUCCCCCGAGCACUUCCUUCUCCUCCAUCUCCGUCUCUGCCCCCGUCUUCACUCCUUCUCCUCUGUCUCCGCUGGAGGUCACCCCGAGCACUUCCUUCUCCGCCCCCGUCUUCACUCCUUCUCCUCUGUCUCCCUUGGAGGGCGACCGCCGCAGCAGCGCUUGAGGCCGUUCGUAAUUGCUGCGUUUAGCACUCUCUCUCCUCCUUCGAAACCCUUCUACUAGGGUUUUCUCUUGAGGAUUGAAACGGCCGACGCUUCACCAUCAGCUCCUCAGCUUCCUCUUCUCCCCUUCUUAGCAGGAACGACAGCUCUCCGCAGCAGCGACUCUUCCGCUCGAGGCCACCAGCAGACCAACCGUAGCUUCCAUUGCAGCCCAGCAGCAGCUUCUCGUCGAGAAACCAGACGGUGAUGCAUCUUCUAAAAUAUCAUAUGGUUUUGAUGAGAAGAAUAGUGUGCAUGACAGAAGACUAGUUAUCUAGCGAAUUGUCAUAGUUGUUUUUGUUUCAUGGACAUAAUAAAUAUAAUAGCCAAAACUGAUUAAAGAAGAACAAAUAUAAACAAACACUAGACAUAACUAACCAUGUAAGACACAAACAUUGGACAAGACAGAACAGAUAGAUCGAACAAGACAAAAACAAACGUCAGAAUAGACAGAACAGACACACACGAAACAAACGCCAGACAAGAAGAACGUAGUGUUCUGUUCCUAAAAUCAUCAAACGGUGAACAAGGAACAUCAUUGUCUAUGAGGACAAGACAACAGUGUAAUGAACAAGACGUUCUGUCUGUAUUGUUUCAAUGGACAGCAAUCAAGUUACCUCUAAGUGAAUCUUCCACAAUUUUUGCGAUAAGUUUUGACAUAAAUUCCUGCAAUACUACCUGGUUCUGCAAUUACCAAAUGCUUCCUACGUCAUGUGUUUCAUAUGGAAUCAGUUGCAUCUUAUUUUUUGGAUGGUAAGAACAAGAUAUAUUUUCGUCCUCCUGACGAGAAAAUUAAACAGCCCUUAAAAAGGG